This is a non-coding RNA of Nelumbo nucifera (sacred lotus), 107 nucleotides long. NCBI's taxonomy places the organism in Eukaryota, Viridiplantae, Streptophyta, Magnoliopsida, Proteales, Nelumbonaceae. The record is from Rfam.
AGUCCAUGAUGAGGGACCUUCCUUAACAGCUGCUUGUAACGCUCCCACGACUCAUACAAUGAUUCUCCAUCUUGCUGAAAAAAAGUGGUGAUGUCAUUCCUCAUCUU